This 75-nucleotide transfer RNA is filed under the name Salmonella enterica subsp. enterica. RNAcentral describes it as "tRNA-Val". The stretch from base 8 to 71 matches the Rfam family "tRNA", at positions 5 to 66 of the family's 71-position model. From Rfam's summary of the family: Transfer RNA (tRNA) molecules are approximately 80 nucleotides in length. Lineage: Bacteria; Pseudomonadati; Pseudomonadota; Gammaproteobacteria; Enterobacterales; Enterobacteriaceae. The record is from RNAcentral.
GGUGAUAGAUUAGCUCAGCUGGGAGAGCACCUCCUUUACAAGGAGGGGGUCGGCGGUUCGAUCCCGUCAUCACCA